UCGAAUAAAAUAUCCAGUCGUUAAAAUUAAUUAACCCAAAAAAAGGCGCUAGAUUUUCCCACAAUUUUCCCCAACCCACGUACAGAAUGCCAUAAUCCCCAACCCACCAUCUUGUGCCCCCCCCCCCCCCCCCCCCCGGCACCCUAACCCAGAAGCCUAAACAAAAGAAAAAGAAAAACUCUUUCAGAACAGAUCGUCAAGAACACGAGAAUAGUUGCAAUCGGUGAAAUUGGAGAAUCGAAUAUUUACAGAAUUCUAGUUUGGAAGCUCUCUUUAGGUUUCCAUCUCUUCUCUCAUCAAGGUAUCAUAGUAUUUUUGUUGCGAAGAGCAAAAUUGAGUUACAAGCUUACAAAUUAGAGGUAAUUUUUUAACUUUCUCAGUUGUGUAGUUCACCAAAUUGGGCAUCUCUUACAAUUCAUGUCAUCCUCCGUUUUAACAACCCUACAUUUCACGAUUUUUUUUUUUUAAAAAAAGAAGAAAUUAGUGAUAAUAAGAAAAAUUAGGAUUAAAUUGUGGCAUUGAUUUCAGAUCCUUUGUCUAUAGCAACUAUGAUGUGGCAUUAGAAGGUGUUUUGUUUCUGCUAAUAUGGUAGUUGUGGUAAUUGUAUCAUUGAAGAAUUGCUUGUGAUUGAGUUGUGCUACUAUUUUGGUUGGCUGUUAGCGUUGGUUUUUGGCUAUUUUCCAUUGUCAUAGUCUGCUUAUUUACACUGGAUAUGUUGUUAUUGUUGUUCUAUAAUCUACUUAUUUAUGAUCGACCAGUUUGAAACCUGGAGAAAAAAUAAUUUAAUAGCGAAUGCCUUUGCAACUACCUUGAACCGAACUUUAAACAAUAAGGAUCCUAGUGUAAAGCUUGAAUUGUUAAAUGUAAUAACCUAUGGAACUUGUGAAGGGUGGAUAGAAUAUUAGUAGUUGUAGAAGCAUGUCAAACAUUUUGAGUUCAUAAUUGAAUGUGGACCUAAAUUACGUAAUUUAGUCCUUCCCUGCCAGUUGAGUUCUUUUUGCUUUCGGUUGCUUUCUAAUGACGAGACCAAGUUGCUUUUCAAUUCAGGAAACCAUUUGCAAUGCAGUGUUAACAUGAGGUGUUUUUUAUUCUGUCUUUCUCCAACUCAUGUGUAUUUGAGUGUUGUUUCAAAACGGAGAAGUUCUAGCUUGAGAGGAUAUAUCAUAAGAAGAUGAACCAUUGACAAUUUGCCGUAAAUUUUCUUACUAAAUUCUUUGUUGCUCACAUGUCUGCCUUUAGUUAAAAGUUUUUAGCAGCUGAUUAAAGUCAUUCAAGUCUUUGGUCAUUCCGUAUACUUUUAUUUCAUCUACUAGUUGUAGUUAUUCUGUAAUAUGCUCCCUACAUGUCUGUCACAAUCUCGAAUUAUUUGGAGAAAACAUGCAGUUGGAGAAGUUUUGUUCUCUCGCAGAUAUUUCUUGGUAUCAUGAACGAAUUAUCAGAUUGAACCAAAAAAAAUAAGAGGACAUGGAGUAUUCUGUACGUUGCCUAGACAGAGGAGGCAAUAGUUGAAGUUUCUAUACUGCUUCAUCCUUGAUUUUUCUAUUCAUUUUUUAAAUAGAAACUUCCACAUAAAGUAUUUUACAGUUAAUAUUUUUGCCUUUGUAACAGUUAUUCUAUUAUUCUAUGGUAGGCAGGGGCGGAGCCACCUUAGGGGAAACAGUGUCACGGGGCACCGCUUCGUCGAAAUUUUUCACUGUGCAUAUAUGAAAUUCAUAUUUUCCUGGACGGCUAAGUGAACCAACAGAUGAAUCUCCAUUUUCAUAUCCUUCUCGGAACAUCCAGCAAUUGCUAGCUCACUGGUCGGGCACUUCGAUUUUCUAGUUAAGGUCGUAGUGUGUUGUCAUGAUUAGGAAUAGUCGAAGUGCUAUUUGGCAUCCCUUUUCCUAUUGAAAACGUACUGAAUUAUUUUCUGGUGUGGCUUAAUAAUGCUAUGUGUUUUGGUUAGAUUAGAUUGACUUGAAUCCGUCAAAAUCUCAAAAGUAUGAAAUGGAAUCAACUUUGAAGGCUGCGAAACAUUCAUUCAUUCCACCUGGUGCCUUAGCAAGAGGACAAGGGAAAAGCUUUAGAGCUUUGAGUUUAGUAAGAGUAAAUACUGAACAAAGACCUCCGAUUGGCAAAAGUAAAAAGUGUAAUACAACAACUUCUUAUCUGAAUGAGCUAGCUCUGAAUGAGAGUCUUGCACGCUCCUGGUUUUGAUCCAUAGAAAGACUAUGUUUCCCUCUCUCAAGAAGCUGAACUGAUGCAAACACUCAGAGAAACGAAAUAAGUCCAUGUAAACCUUAAAAGGCAAAAAAUGUGAGAGUGUCGAUCAGGUGCAUAACUCAAAGCUGGAGUAAUGUUGAGCAUCACUUUUUACCACAAUCAAAUUGUUGGGAAGCAUCAUGCCUCAGCGAGACACUUAGCUAUAUUAGUUAAUGAUCGUAAUAUGUGUCCAUUGCGCGUACAUUAAUGGGCGGACAUCGAGGAUUAUAAGCUGGAUCACAUGUGGGCAGCUGUGACUAUAAGGAUUUAAAACAUGAGUUUUUUGUUUUGCCUUCUCCUUUUAUUCUUUUACAAAUGAAAACGAAAUACUUGUGAGCUUAUAUCAUUGUAUUUGUUGAGUUAUUUUCUAUUUGAUUUGUCAGAAUCUGUAAAGAAAAUAGUUGAUAUGCUAUAUUGGACUUGUGAAACUCAGUGUUAUUAAAAGUGCUCGCUUCAUCGCCUAAAUCAUUGAGGUAAGGAGACUGGCUUGUGCUUCAGAAGGCUGAGGCGACGCUGGUAGAAAGAAGGGACUCUUCUCCUCAAGAAGAUCGAAGUGGAGGAGAAGCGAGAAGCAUGCGCUUCGUUUAUUUUAAUAAAAGAUGACUUUAAACAGAAAAGGAUUCAACUUUCUUACUAGUUUUGCUGCUCUCUUCCUUGGUCUAGUUCUAUACUUCAAGCUACAGGUAUGAUUAUUUCUUCUUCUUCCCCUCCUCCUCUUCUCUUCUUCGUCUCGUAUCUGAUAUCGUCGUUGCUGCUAUUUUUUUUUCUUUCUAUUCUUUUCUUUUAUCUUAUGUCGCUGCUACUGUAGCGUUUUUUCUCCUCUUCUUCUUUUCUCUUUUCUGAUAUCACUGCUGCUGCUGCUUUUUUUUUCUUUCUCUUCUAUUCUAUGACCUAAUAUCGCUGCUACUGCAAUAUGAGCAUCAUGGUGACAGAUGCAAGGUUCAAUAUUUUUGCCUAUAUAUAUUAGAAUACUUGUCCAUGAUGCAACUUCUAUGUUGACAUUUAAUUCUUUUUAUUUUGAGAAUUUGCAGCCUGUUAGUUGGAUAGUAGUGCAUCGACUAUACUGGCUAUCAAAGAUGUGGAGAUAGCUUGUUCUCUGCAUUGAAUUUGAGUUCCAUUAUAUUCUCAUGAAGUAAGCUUAUCUCUUAUCCCUAUUUGUACGGUGUAUUUUGGCAUAAGCAAGACUUGAGGAUUAUGUUACCAAUACAUAAUAAUGGAGGUGAAUCAUGAUCGUAGAAAAUUCUUAUGCUAUUGGUACUCCGUCUGCAUUACUGCAUUUUGGAUCAUAGUACAUAGUUGGUACUAAUUCCUAUUAUUGUGGUCUUCUCUUUUUUUCUUUCAUAAGUUUAGUCUUUGCUAAUAAACUGACAUAAAUUUGAAACUUUUAAUAGGUCAAGAAUUUGAAGACUGAGAUAAGUUUGGUGGUGACAUGUUUUUUUAUGGUUAUUCUAUAAUUAGUUACUUCUUAGUGUUUCUCUUUUCUACUUUAAGUGGCUCUUGUUAUUAAAUCUCAUCCAUAGAGAUUAGAAUAGUCUACACUUUACAUAAAGUGCGUUGUUUCAUCUUAUUUGCUGUGUCAUCUGCUUGAGCAUGCCUCUACUUUUAUUAUUUCAAAUUUAUUUUCUGGAUACAAAAGUAAUUCAUCCUUUUUCAUGUAUAUAACACAUCCAUUUGUAAUUUUUUCAGAUUUGGAAAACUGAAAAAUGAUGUUCGAUAUCAUUCAAUUUAUAUCAGGUUCUCUAAUAACAUGCCUUCUAUACCAAAGCUGAUUCCUUAAACAUAUUAGUAGAAGUAACUCGUUUUCUAAUAACAGGAGUAUCUGGUUUCCAAUAUUCUGUGUAAAGAGUUUCUCCAGUAGUUUUUUGGUAGUAUUGAAAACAACUGAUAGAAUAUGUUUCAUUAUUUCAUAUUCUUACCGAUUCCUUUUGAUCCUAGGCUUCAGAAUCUGUGAUGCGAAACCAAGACCUUUUAAUUGUUUUAAGUUGAUGUACUUAUUAAAGUUUUGUGAUUUGUUGCUAUGUGAAGAUAAUGAGUAUGGAUAAGGUAGAAGAGUCAUGAUUAUUCUAUUCAUUAAAUAAAAUACAGAGGUCAUGAUAUUUUUAUUACUAAACCUAUAUGAAAAGUGGUUUAGGUCCUGUUUAGGAGAUUUUCUCAUUAGUUGCUCUAAUUUGAUGGAAUAAAGUUAUGUAUGAGGUUGCAUACUUGGAACUAAAAGCUGAACAUCAAUCAAUCAGGCGAAUCUUGAAUUAGAAUUUUGAUACUCUAGAGCUUGAGUUUUACGAGAUAGAGAAUCCUUUUCUCUUGGCUUGCACAUUCUCUUGCCUAUCUAUUAGGAGUUUUGUUACUAUAUUGAGAUGACCUUUCUUCUUUUAACAGAUCAAGAUUUACAAUAUACAAGCUGGAUUCUAAAGAACUGGCCUGCUACCCUUGAAGUAAGUGCAGAACAAUUGAAGCAAUCUACUUUGGUUUUGUUACAAUCUGUUUAGAAAUGUCACAUUUGUAAAAGCUAUAAUUUUAUUCUCUUUUGUUUGGAGUUGACAAAUAUAAUGUCAUGUAAUCUGAAUGUGUAUAUUUUUAUAUUUUUUCAGUAAUGUGAUGAUUUAUUUAUUU
Molecule: long non-coding RNA, 4851 nt
Organism: Lycium barbarum (goji berry)
Lineage: Eukaryota; Viridiplantae; Streptophyta; Magnoliopsida; Solanales; Solanaceae
Exons: 2
Source: RefSeq, a predicted model, not a curated record